UGGAAGAACAUCAUAUGCCGUUUUGGUAUCCCCAAAGAAAUCAGCUGCAAUAAUGGGCGCUAGUUCAUCGGUCAGAAAACAACUGAGUUCUUCGAAAAUGGCGCAUCAAAAGAAUACUAUCCACUCCAUACCACCCCGCCGCCAAAGGUCAAGCGGAGUCCUCCAACAAAACAAUCCUGAACAUACUCAAAAAGAAGCUCGAAGAUGCCAAGGGAGUAUGGCCCGAGCUACUACCCGAUGUCUUGUGGGCACACAGAACCACACCCAAAGCACCGGAGAAACCCCGUACUCACUGGUUUAUGGAACCGAUGCGGUCAUACCUGUCGAAGUGGACAAACCUAUCUUAAGGUACUCACAUACCAGCGGAUCGAAAAAUGACAUCGGCAGACUCCAAGAUCUUGAUGAGGCAGAAGUGGGCGAACCCAGCUUAAGGUACUCACACACUAGAGGAUCGGAUAACGACAUCAGCAGGCUCCAAGAUCUCGAUGAAGCCGAAGAAAUAAGAGAAAUGGCCCACGUCGGAAUGGCAGCUCAGAAACAACAAGUCGAAAGAUACUACAACAAAAAGGGCAAAAAUAAGGCUGCUCAAAGUAGGGGAUUACGUCCUGAAAGCCAAGACUCUGGCCUCAAAAGACCCAAGUGAAGGAAAAUUGGGCACAAACUGGGAUGGA
This 671-nucleotide long non-coding RNA is filed under the name Nicotiana benthamiana. RNAcentral describes it as "long non-coding RNA (NBEN_LNC014936)". The record is from RNAcentral. Lineage: Eukaryota; Viridiplantae; Streptophyta; Magnoliopsida; Solanales; Solanaceae.